CUUUGGUGUGGCUGCAAGCAGCAGUUGUUGACGGGUGCAAUGCAAACAAGAACUUAUGUGACAGUUACUCACCACCGUGUUGCUCAAAUUCGGUAUGCGUGAUAGUUCCUAGUGUGGGUAAUAGAUGCAUGGACAAAGGGGACAUCUGCAGGACAGACCCUGAUGGUGUCCAGAUAUGUCUAAGUCCUGCAUACCAUUAAAGGAGAUAAUCAAUCAUGGUCUCGAAUUGACGAGGACUUUAAAGUGUUUCAGGGAUACAAGCUUUAACGACAAAGGUUAAAUGCCGAGUGGAUUGUACCCAAAAAUUCUGAAACUAUAAUGAUUGUUCUACUUAUGAUUGAUCAGUAAACUGAAAGUUACUUUCUGUCUUUGCUUUGCUUAUUGUAUCAACCAAUGUCCAUGGCAAGUAAAAUAAGUGUGAAUCAUGUGUGUGGGUGUCUUAAAAGCGUCUGAUCCUA
Long non-coding RNA from Pomacea canaliculata, 458 nucleotides. RefSeq lists it as uncharacterized. The transcript is spliced from 3 exons. NCBI's taxonomy places the organism in Eukaryota, Metazoa, Mollusca, Gastropoda, Architaenioglossa, Ampullariidae. The record is from RefSeq and is a predicted model, not a curated record.